This 468-nucleotide ribosomal RNA is filed under the name uncultured bacterium. RNAcentral's name for it is "partial 16S ribosomal RNA". It matches the Rfam family "Bacterial small subunit ribosomal RNA", at positions 28 to 507 of the family's 1533-position model. The record is from RNAcentral.
GACGAACGCUGGCGGCGUGCUUAACACAUGCAAGUCGAACGGAAAUGCCCUGCUUUUGUGGGGUGCUCGAGUGGCGAACGGGUGAGUAACACGUGAGUAACCUGCCCUUGACUUUGGGAUAACUUCAGGAAACUGGGGCUAAUACCGGAUAGGAGCUCCUGCUGCAUGGUGGGGGUUGGAAAGUUUCGGCGGUUGGGGAUGGACUCGCGGGUUAUCAGCUUGUUGGGGGGGUAGUGGCUUACCAAGGCUUUGACGGGUAGCCGGCCUGAGAGGGUGACCGGCCACAUUGGGACUGAGAUACGGCCCAGACUCCUACGGGAGGCAGAAGUGGGGAAUAUUGCACAAUGGGCGGAAGCCUGAUGCAGCAACGCCGCGUGCGGGAUGACGGCCUUCGGGUUGUAAACCGCUUUCGCCUGUGACGAAGCGUGAGUGACGGUAAUGGGUAAAGAAGCACCGGCUAACUACGUG